UUAUAUAUGCGUAUAUAAUUGCGGGGUUCUAAGCUUUACGGGAAACUCAACCGAAAGUUUCUUAUUUAAAAACUUUCGAUUGGGUUUCUUUGUAAAGCUUAGAACCCUGCAAUUACAUACGUAUAUAUAA
Non-coding RNA from Brassica napus (rape), 130 nucleotides. The record is from Rfam. NCBI's taxonomy places the organism in Eukaryota, Viridiplantae, Streptophyta, Magnoliopsida, Brassicales, Brassicaceae.